RNAcentral lists this ribosomal RNA (743 nucleotides) under uncultured Chloroflexota bacterium. RNAcentral's name for it is "bacterial SSU rRNA". It matches the Rfam family "Bacterial small subunit ribosomal RNA", at positions 583 to 1336 of the family's 1533-position model. The record is from RNAcentral. Lineage: Bacteria; Bacillati; Chloroflexota.
GUAAGUUACUUAUGAAAGCUCCUGGCUAAACUGGGAGAGGUUGAGUGAUACUGCCAGUCUUGAGUGGAUGAGAGGUUAAUGGAAUUCCGCGUGUAGUGGUGAAAUGCGUAGAGAUGCGGAAGAACAUCGGUGGCGAAGGCGAUUAACUGGCAUCCAACUGACACUCAGACGCGAAAGCAUGGGUAGCGAACGGGAUUAGAAACCCCGGUAGUCCAUGCCGUAAACGAUGCACACUAAACGUUCGGUUUCCGAGAGGGGACUGAGUGUUGAAGCUAACGCGAUAAGUGUGCCGCCUAGGGAGUACGGUCGCAAGGCUAAAACUUAAAGGAAUUGACGGGGGCCCGCACAAGCAGCGGAGCGCGUGGUUUAAUUCGAGGAUACGCGAAGAACCUUACCUGGGUUUGACAUCAUACUGGUAGCGAAGCGAAAGCUAAGCGACUCUUCGGAGAGGUAUGACAGGUGCUGCAUGGUUGUCGUCAGCUCGUGCCGUGAGGUGUUCGGUUAAGUCCGCAAACGAGCGCAACCCUCGUCGUUAGUUAUACGUGUCUAGCGAGACUGCCCGUGGCAAACGGGAGGAAGGUGGGGAUGACGUCAAAUCAGCAUGGCCUUUAUAUCCAGGGCUACACACACGCUACAAUGGCGCGUACAACAGGUAGCGAAGCCGCGAGGUGGAGCCAAUCCCCUAAAGCGCGUCUCACUUCGGAUUGUAGGCUGCAACUCGCCUGCAUGAAGUUGGAGUUGCU